GUGGGGAAUUUUGGACAAUGGGCGCAAGCCUGAUCCAGCAAUGCCGCGUGCAGGAAGAAGGCCUUCGGGUUGUAAACUGCUUUUGUACGGAACGAAACGGUCCUGGUUAAUACCUGGGGCUAAUGACGGUACCGUAAGAAUAAGCACCGGCUAACUACGUGCCAGCAGCCGCGGUAAUACGUAGGGUGCGAGCGUUAAUCGGAAUUACUGGGCGUAAAGCGUGCGCAGGCGGCUAUGCAAGACAGAUGUGAAAUCCCCGGGCUCAACCUGGGAACUGCAUUUGUGACUGCAUGGCUAGAGUGCGUCAGAGGGAGGUGGAAUUCCGCGUGUAGCAGUGAAAUGCGUAGAUAUGCGGAGGAACACCGAUGGCGAAGGCAAUCCCCUGGGCCUGCACUGACGCUCAUGCACGAAAGCGUGGGGAGCAAACAGGAUUAGAUAUCCCAGUAGUCC
Molecule: ribosomal RNA, 450 nt
Filed under: uncultured bacterium
Lineage: Bacteria
Description: partial 16S ribosomal RNA
Rfam family: Bacterial small subunit ribosomal RNA
Source: RNAcentral